UACGAAGGGGGCUAGCGUUGCUCGGAAUCACUGGGCGUAAAGCGCACGUAGGCGGCUUUCUAGGUCAGGGGUGAAAUCCUGGAGCUCAACUCCAGAACUGCCUUUGAUACUGGAGAGCUUGAGUCCGGAAGAGGUGAGUGGAACUCCGAGUGUAGAGGUGAAAUUCGUAGAUAUUCGGAAGAACAUCAGUGGCGAAGGCGACACCCUGGACUCAUACUGACACUGAGGUGCGAAAGCGUGGGGAGCAAACAGG
Molecule: ribosomal RNA, 253 nt
Filed under: uncultured bacterium
Lineage: Bacteria
Description: partial 16S ribosomal RNA
Rfam family: Bacterial small subunit ribosomal RNA
Source: RNAcentral